GACGAACGCUGGCGGCGUGCCUAAUACAUGCAAGUAGAACGCACAGUUUAUACCGUGUCUUGCUACACCAUAGACUGUGAGUUGCUAACUGGUAAGGAACGCGUAGGUAGCCUGUCUGGUAGCGGAGGAUAACUAUUGGAAACGAUAGCUAAUACCGCAUAAUAUUAAUUAUUGCAUGAUAAUUAAUUUAAAGGUGCAAUUUCACCACUACCAUAUGGGCCUGGGUUGUAUUAGCUAGUAGGUGAGGUAACGGCUCACCUAGGCGACGAUACAGAGCCGACCGGGGAAGGUGAUCGGCCACACUUGGACCGAGCACCGGCCCCGACUCCUACGGGAGGCAGCCGUAGGGAAUUUUCGGCAAAGGACGGAAGUCUGACCGAGCCAAGCCGCGUGAGUGGAGAAGGUUCUCGGAUCGUAAAGCUCUGUUGUAAGAGAAGAACGGGUGUGAGAGUAGAAAGUGCACCCUGUGACGGUACCGUAACAGAAAGGGACGGCUAACUACGUG
This 505-nucleotide ribosomal RNA is filed under the name uncultured bacterium. RNAcentral describes it as "partial 16S ribosomal RNA". It matches the Rfam family "Bacterial small subunit ribosomal RNA", at positions 28 to 507 of the family's 1533-position model. The record is from RNAcentral.